CCUACGGGUGGCAGCAGUGAGGAAUAUUGGUCAAUGGACGAGAGUCUGAACCAGCCAAGUAGCGUGAAGGAUGACUGCUCUAUGGGUUGUAAACUUCUUUUAUAUGGGAAUAAAAUGUUACACGUGUGGGAUUUUGUAUGUACCAUAUGAAUAAGGAUCGGCUAACUCCGUGCCAGCAGCCGCGGUAAUACGGAGGAUCCGAGCGUUAUCCGGAUUUAUUGGGUUUAAAGGGUGCGUAGGUGGAUUGUUAAGUCAGUGGUGAAAGUGUGAGGCGCAACCGUAAAAUUGCAGUUGAUACUGGCAGGCUAGAGGACAGUAGAGGUAGGCGGAAUGCAUGGUGUAGCGGUGAAAUGCUUAGAGAUCACGAAGAACACCGAUUGCGAAGGCAGUUCACUAGACUGCAACUGACACUGAGGCUCGAAAGUGUGGGUAGCAAACAGGAUUAGAUACCCCAGUAGUC
Molecule: ribosomal RNA, 460 nt
Filed under: uncultured bacterium
Lineage: Bacteria
Description: partial 16S ribosomal RNA
Rfam family: Bacterial small subunit ribosomal RNA
Source: RNAcentral